CCUACGGGCGACAGCAGUGAGGAAUAUUGGUCAAUGGACGAGAGUCUGAACCAGCCAAGUAGCGUGAAGGAUGACUGCCCUAUGGGUUGUAAACUUCUUUUAUAUGGGAAUAAAACGUUCCACGUGUGGGAUUUUGUAUGUACCAUAUGAAUAAGGAUCGGCUAACUCCGUGCCAGCAGCCGCGGUAAUACGGAGGAUCCGAGCGUUAUCCGGAUUUAUUGGGUUUAAAGGGAGCGUAGGUGGAUUGUUAAGUCAGUUGUGAAAGUUUGCGGCUCAACCGUAAAAUUGCAGUUGAAACUGGCAGUCUUGAGUACAGUAGAGGUGUGCGGAAUUCGUGGUGUAGCGGUGAAAUGCUUAGAUAUCACGAAGAACUCCGAUUGCGAAGGCAGUUCACUGGACUGCAACUGACACUGAGGCUCGAAAGUGUGGGUAUCAAACAGGAUUAGAUACCCUAGUAGUC
Molecule: ribosomal RNA, 460 nt
Filed under: uncultured bacterium
Lineage: Bacteria
Description: partial 16S ribosomal RNA
Rfam family: Bacterial small subunit ribosomal RNA
Source: RNAcentral